This 312-nucleotide small nuclear RNA is filed under the name Vicugna pacos (alpaca). RNAcentral describes it as "7SK RNA (ENSVPAG00000015613.1)". It matches the Rfam family "7SK RNA". From Rfam's summary of the family: 7SK was discovered as an abundant small nuclear RNA in the mid-70s but a possible function has only recently been suggested. Two independent studies have found that 7SK RNA binds the CDK9/cyclin T complex (known as elongation factor P-TEFb). The record is from RNAcentral. Lineage: Eukaryota; Metazoa; Chordata; Mammalia; Artiodactyla; Camelidae.
GGAUGUGAGGGAGAUCUGGCUGCGACAUCUGUCACCCCACUGAUUGCCAAGAUCUGGCUGGCUAGGAGGGUGUGCCCUUCCUCCCUCACUGCCCCAUGUGUGUCCCUCCCAAAGCUGCAUGCUCUGUCAAAGAGGACGACCAUCUCUGAUAGAGGAGGACCAUUCUUCUCAGUCAAGGGUAUAUGAGUAGCUAUGCUUGCCUGCUAGAACUUCUAAACAAGCUCUCAAAAGUGGGCAGAAGACCUAAACAAGCAAUCCUCCAAUGAAGACAUACAAAUGGCCAAUAGGCACAUGAAAAAAUGCUCAGCAUUG